RNAcentral lists this ribosomal RNA (255 nucleotides) under Enterobacter cloacae. RNAcentral describes it as "partial 23S ribosomal RNA". It matches the Rfam family "Bacterial large subunit ribosomal RNA", at positions 1085 to 1338 of the family's 2925-position model. Lineage: Bacteria; Pseudomonadati; Pseudomonadota; Gammaproteobacteria; Enterobacterales; Enterobacteriaceae. The record is from RNAcentral. RNAcentral also lists the same sequence under 1 other name.
ACAGACAGCCAGGAUGUUGGCUUAGAAGCAGCCAUCAUUUAAAGAAAGCGUAAUAGCUCACUGGUCGAGUCGGCCUGCGCGGAAGAUGUAACGGGGCUAAACCAUGCACCGAAGCUGCGGCAGCGACGCUUAUGUGUUGUUGGGUAGGGGAGCGUUCUGUAAGCCGUUGAAGGUGUGCUGUGAGGCAUGCUGGAGGUAUCAGAAGUGCGAAUGCUGACAUAAGUAACGAUAAAGCGGGUGAAAAGCCCGCUCGCC